RNAcentral lists this ribosomal RNA (378 nucleotides) under uncultured eukaryote. Its description in RNAcentral is "partial 18S ribosomal RNA". It matches the Rfam family "Eukaryotic small subunit ribosomal RNA", at positions 592 to 976 of the family's 1831-position model. The record is from RNAcentral.
CAAUAGCGUAUAUUAAAGUUGUUGCAGUUAAAAAGCUCGUAGUUGAAUUUCUGUUAAGGAGAUCCCGUGCGGCUUCGGCUGACUGCGUGGAUGCUUCUUGGCAUUUGUCCAAAGACCGUUUCUGCACUUAACUGGGUGGAGCGGGAUUUGGAUCCUUUACUUUGAGAAAAUUAGAGUGUUUCAAGCAGGCAAGCGUCUUGAAUACUGCAGCAUGGAAUAAUACGAUAAGACUCAUGUCUUAUUUUGUUGGUUUCUGAGACUGAGUAAUGAUUGAUAGGGACAGUUAGGGGCAUUCGUAUUUAACUGUCAGAGGUGAAAUUCUUGGAUUUGUUAAAGACGAACUACUGCGAAAGCAUUUGCCAGGGAUGUUUUCAUUAA